This 1134-nucleotide long non-coding RNA is filed under the name Sus scrofa (pig). RNAcentral describes it as "lncRNA (ENSSSCG00005035510.1)". The record is from RNAcentral. Lineage: Eukaryota; Metazoa; Chordata; Mammalia; Artiodactyla; Suidae.
GGAGGUUCAGCCCAGGCCUGGCCCACCCCUUCUGAAAGGGACCUGGGCCCUCCUGCCUGCAUGGCUGCACCUCUGUCUCUCAUCUUUGUCAUUGGGUACAAGGUCCCCCAGCUUUUGGUCAGCAGCCGCUCACCUCCCCAGCCCUCCCUGUCCUGGGCCAUCCUGCCUGUGGGUCCAGACCCUCCCCACAACUGUGGGUUCCUGGAGCCCGAGUCCGACCCAGAGUCAGCAUGUGCUCGGGUGGCGGGGCAGCGCAGUGAGCUCUGUUUUUCUGUCUCUCUGAACAGGUCUUCGCACAAUGAACUAGAAAAGCACAGGUGAGUCAUCCCUCCCACCCCAGCUCCUCCCCUCUGCCCUGUGAGCCGCCCAGUACCUCCCACCCCCCUUCUGCCGAGGGGUGCUGCACCCGCUCCCACUCCCCGCCUUUGUGUCCUGGGCUGGGUUCACCACGCCGCUGGGCUAUGCCCUUGUCUCGGGAAGGGCCAGUCUUGAUGGAAGAGGCUGGGCUCUGUUCUCGGGCACUGCCACGCCGGAAGGCUGCCGUGGGGAUCCAGGCCCUGCUCUUGGGAACUCAGUCUAGUCUGGACUGGCGGGCAGGGCCCCUUGCACUGGGUGUCGGGGCUGGCGCCCUGGAAGAGGAGCUCCACCUGUUUGGGGGUGUCUGAGCCAUUUGGGGAGCAGCUCCUUCGCCCUUAGGAUGCUGCCUCCCGCCAGGAAGGUGCGGCCCUCUUGGUUGGGGGCUCCUGCGCCCUGGAACCGCCUUCCAGGAGUUCCCUGUAGAGCCUUGUCCUUGGCAGUGGGGUGAGCCACCAGUCCCAGGCCAUGGGGGCCUGUUGGGAAGCUCCGGGCCAGGACAGGAUCAGGGGGAGAGGGCCUCGUGCCCACCCACUGACUGCAGAGCCGGGUCUACUCUGGCCCCCUCUGAGGAGCGAGGGCCUCGCAGUGAAGCACAAGUGGCAACACGGGUGCCGGAAGAGGCUCUGCCCUCUGGCCUCGGGGCAGCGCCAAGGCCCUAUGCUUCCUCACGGCCCUCCUCGCCCCUGCUGGCCCCGGCCUGGCUGCUCGGGCGCAGGCCUCUCUCUUCAGGGGGACGCGGCACCGUCAAGCCCCGCGCCGUGCAUGGGUGUCCUCACA